Molecule: ribosomal RNA, 861 nt
Filed under: uncultured organism
Description: bacterial SSU rRNA
Rfam family: Bacterial small subunit ribosomal RNA
Source: RNAcentral
AGAGGGCCCGAGCGUUAAUCGGAAUCACUGGGCUUAAAGCGUACGUAGGCGGAUGUAAAGGCAUCUUGUGAAAUCCCUCGGCUCAACCGGGGAAUUGCUUGGUGAACCAUACAUCUUGAGGCAAGUAGAGGUGGUCGGAACGAUAGGUGGAGCGGUGAAAUGCGUAGAUAUCUAUCGGAACGCCCAAGGUGAAGACAGGCCACUGGGCUUGUCCUGACGCUGAGGUACGAAAGCGUGGGUAGCGAACGGGAUUAGAUACCCCGGUAGUCCACGCCGUAAACGAUGCGCACUAGGUCGGGGAGGCUUGACGCCCUCCUGGCCGAAGCAAAAGUGUUUAGUGCGCCGCCUGGGGAGUACGGUCGCAAGGCUAAAACUCAAAGGAAUUGACGGGGGCUCACACAAGCGGUGGAGCAUGUGGCUUAAUUCGAAGCAACGCGAAGAACCUUAUCCAGGGUUUGACAUGUAUGGAUUAACAUCCGUGAAAGCGGAGCCACACCCUCGGGUGGAACAUACACAGGUGCUGCAUGGCUGUCGUCAGCUCGUGCUGUGAAGUGUCGGGUUAAGUCCCUUAACGAGCGCAACCCUUGUCGUUAGUUGCUAACAGGUAAUGCUGAGGACUCUAGCGAGACUGCCGGUGUUAAACCGGAGGAAGGUGGGGAUGACGUCAAGUCCUCAUGGCCUUUAUGCCCUGGGCUGCACACGUGCUACAAUGGUAGUACAGAACGAAGCAAGACCGCGAGGUGGAGCAAAUCGCUUAAAACCUGCCCCAGUUCAGAUUGCAGCUGCAAUUCGCCUGCAUGAAGUUGGAAUCGCUAGUAAUCGCGGAUCAGCUACGCCGCGGUGAAUACGUUCCUGAGCCUU